CAUGCAAGUCGAACGCAGUAGCAAUACUGAGUGGAAGACGGGUGAGUAUGAUGUGGGAAUCUGCCUUUUGGUUUGGAAUAACUCGGGGAAACUUGAGCUAAUACUGGAUAAGCCCUCACGGGGCAAAGCUUUAGCGCCAAAAGAUGAGCCCGCACUUGAUUAGCUAGUUGGUGAGGUAAUAGCUCACCAAGGCAACGAUCAAUAGCUGUUCUUAGAGGAAGACCAGCCACAUUGGGACUGAGACACGGCCCAGACUCCUACGGGAGGCAGCAGUAAGGAAUCUUGCACAAUGGAGGAAACUCUGAUGCAGCGAUGCCGCGUGAGUGAAGAAGGCCUUUGGGUUGUAAAACUCUUUCGUCGGNGAAGAAAAUGACUGUACCCCGAAUAAGAAGGUCCNGNUUACUUCGU
Molecule: ribosomal RNA, 408 nt
Filed under: uncultured Alphaproteobacteria bacterium
Lineage: Bacteria; Pseudomonadati; Pseudomonadota; Alphaproteobacteria
Description: bacterial SSU rRNA
Rfam family: Bacterial small subunit ribosomal RNA
Source: RNAcentral